Pelobates cultripes (western spadefoot toad) is the source of this 631-nucleotide non-coding RNA. The record is from the annotation of a GenBank genome assembly. Lineage: Eukaryota; Metazoa; Chordata; Amphibia; Anura; Pelobatidae.
CUUUAUAACGCUGUGUGUUAUUACAUGCUUCAUGUCGUGUUCACUAAUGUAUCAGGUGAUUUUGUUUGGCUGCACUAGGAUUGCCAGGUAGCCGAGGAGAGCCAGGCCCCCCAGGAGGUCCAGGGCGAAAAGGAGAGAAGGGAGACGAAGGUGAGGAAUGGACACUGACAAUCUUUACCUUUACCCUGACCCCUGAUAAUCUGCUAAUUCACUGGGAGAGCCAAUGAAUCUGCACUGUCACCCAGAAAAUCUGACAAUUCACCCAGAGAAUCUGACAAUUCACCCAGAGAAUCUGACAAUUCACUGGGAGAGCCAAUGACUCUCUGCAGUCACCCAGAGAAUCUGACAAGUAAUGCAGAGAAUCUGCCCAUUCACUCAGAGGAUCUAAAAAUUCACGCAGAGAAUCUGACAAUUCACCCAUGGAAUCUGCCCAUAAUGCUGCUUUCUCUUUCAAGGGCAAUACAUUGGGUGCAUAGAAGUGUAAUACAUUUUAAUGAGGGGCUCAUUGUAUGCCAGGUCUGCAAGGGUUAAAGGGAGAAGCCGGUACACCGGGUAACCAUGGACUGGCAGGUUCUCCAGGACAACCUGGACCAUCAGGAGAAAAAGGAUCCAGCGGCAGAAAUGGUAAGAA